GACCAGUGUGGUGCAGUGGUCUGAGCGUUGGACUGUGACUCUGGAGACCAGGGUUCGAAUCCCCAUUUGGCCA
This is a non-coding RNA of Phrynosoma platyrhinos (Desert horned lizard), 73 nucleotides long. The record is from the annotation of a GenBank genome assembly. Lineage: Eukaryota; Metazoa; Chordata; Lepidosauria; Squamata; Phrynosomatidae.